This 1140-nucleotide long non-coding RNA is filed under the name Dicentrarchus labrax (European seabass). RNAcentral's name for it is "lncRNA (ENSDLAG00005033452.1)". Lineage: Eukaryota; Metazoa; Chordata; Actinopteri; Moronidae. The record is from RNAcentral.
UUCACAACUAAACAAAGAAAUAUGGAUAACCUAGUGCGUUUGAGCCACAAUAUGACUUUCAAUGCAAAUGUGGUCUAAUCCAUGAAUGAGUAACAGCAAAUGGUUACUUAGGAAAACACAAUAAUAUAAAUAUAAAAACAGGUAUUGUAACUACCAUUAAGCAGAAAAUAAUUAGGAUAAAGUAAACAUUGUGUUAGCGAAACCUAACUGUUAAAUAUAAAAAAUAUGUAGUUUGUACACGCUUGUAACAUGAAUAAGUGAAUAACGUUCGCAAAUUUCACAUCAUGGGACGAACCGGUCUCUCUUAUGACCCAACCAGACCACGGACCAUAUUUGGAACUUCCUUCACGUUCGCUCUUUACGUUCGUACGUUCGGGAGCCGAUUCGGAUGGCGCCAGUCGACAGAGAAAACUACACCUCCUGGCCUGUUGGUGGACACAGUUGACAUUUAUUUUAAACAGAGAGCUGCACCUGUCACUCUGAGGAGGAUGAUGGAGCAAAGCAAAGAACAACAAGCAACUGCCUUAAGCUUAGACAACACAGGCUGCUGGGAGAAAUACAGUACUCAUAUUUCUUUCUGGCUGGAGCACACAGCACACUACAGACCUGAUGUGGAAGAUGCAGCCUGCAGGAUUAAUUGGGCCCAGUUACAGAGGAUCAGCAAGUUUGGUGCUCUUCACAUGCUGCUCUUCCAUAUGGCAGCACAGAAGACACACACUAUGAUUAAUAGUUCAGUCUACCAGGUUUCUACUCAUCUACCCGUCAGACACAGGAUUUCCUGUGUGGCUUUACAGGAGGAGGUACCACCCAGAUGACGUCACCCAGAUCUCGAUGCAUUUUGUCUGUAGAUUACAGCCUAAACAAUAGCAAAUAUAUUGUCAUAUAUAUAAUAUCAUUUAUUAACCAUUUAUUGUAUGAAGUAGUGCCUCUGUUUUGUAAUGUUUUAAAUGUAUUAAUUUGUUUGAUGUAAGCACUGAUGGUUGUUGUUUUGAAGGAUAGGCCACUCCUGCUAUAACACACUGUGGGAGAAGUGGUUGCUUACAUAUCGUAUAGAUUAUAAGUGGGACUCAAAGAGUUUGCAUUAGGUUUUAGGUCUAGCUUGGUUAUGUGUUUUUUUUUCUAAAUAAAACAAAUAUUGAG